UCCUGGCUAACACGGUGAAACCCCGUCUCUACUAAAAAUACAAAAAAUUAGCCGGGUGUGGUGGCACAUGCCUGUAGUCCCAGCUAUUCAGGAGGCUGAGGCAGGAGAAUCGCUUGAACCCAGGAGGCGGAGGUUGCAGUGAGCCAAGAUCGCACCACUGCACUCCAGCCUGGGCGACGGAGUGAGACUCCACCUCAAAAAAUAAAAAGCUAAAAAUAAAAUAAAGUUUUUAUUCAACUGGGAAAAUCAUACUGGGAGAGGGUAACUACUAUACAAAGUUAAUUAUCUGGUCAUGAAUUACAUUUAAAAUUGUAAGGUGUGAGUGGCAAGACCAGCAAGAAGAUCACCAUUGCUGACUGUCAACAACUCUAGUAAGUUUGAAUUGUAUUUUACUUUAACCACCAGACCAUUCCUUCUGUUGCUCAGGAGAGCAGCCUUCCACCCCAUUUGCUCACAGUAUCCUAGAAUCUUUGUGCUCUCACUGCAGUUCCCUUUGGGUUCCAUGUUUUCCUUGUUCCCUUCCAUGCCUAGCUGGAUUGCAGCGUUAAGUUUAUGAUUAUGAAACAAAAACCAAAUACAAAACAAAAUGUAAGGUGCCUAUUGCUAUACAAGUUCCCUAGUUUCAAUUUAUACAUUUAUCACUCAUUUACUCAGUAAUUUAACAAUUACGUAAUUCAUGCCUAUUAAUUCCAAGGGCUUAGACUGGACCUUGAGAUAAAAAAUGAAGAAUGCAUGAGAUCUGGUAGCCUAGAAGGGAGACAAACUGGAGUGUGAAAAAUGAAGUCCUUUUCUUUUUUCUUUUUUUUUUUGAGACAGGGUCUUGCUCUAGCACCCAGGCUGAAGUGCACUGGCACAAUUUUACCUCAACCUCUGCCUCCUAGGCUCAAGUGAUCCUCUGGCCUCAGCCUCCCAUAUUAUGAACUUUUCAUUGCUAAAUUUAUUCACCAGAUUAAUAUACCACAUAACUGAAAAUAACAUAGUUCUAGAACAGAAAUUAGGAACAAAUUCACUAAAACUUUUUUUUAAUCAGUGAGGAAACUACUGUAUGAAUGUCAUUUUUUGAGUAUAUAUAGCUAUCUUUUAUUUGUAUGUUCUGGGUUUUUUUAUUCAUAGAAAAGAAAGUCCUCUCCUGAUCUGAAGGUAUGCAUUCAAACUUAUCCCCCAGGUUUCCUUGGCUGUUUGAUUUUGUCUGUAGGGUAGGGAUUUAUCCUGAGACAAUGGUCUUGCUAAGUUAGUAAAGCCAUUCCAUCACAAGUCAUUAGUACUCUAUCCAUGCCCUUGAGUUUUUCACAUGAGUUGGUUUUGAUUUUAAACAUAAUCUGAAAAAAAUUCUUCAAAUGCUUCAAAUACUCUGUGUUCAGGGGAAGACAUCAGGCCUAGCAGGAAUUUGGAUCAUGAGCAGCUUCUAGAAUCAGGCUCUGGUUAGUAGAAUCCACCUAUCUGUCUGUGUAGAGUCCUUCUAGUAGCAGCUUGGCAUGAUUCUUGCCAUGGUCCUCUGGAGCGCUGCUGUAAAAGUGAUAGCCUAAAGCCCACAGACUCCUCAGGGUUGCCUCCUUUCAUGUGAUCCGUGUAAAUAAAGUAAGAACUUGUUGAGCAUGCCCCUUGAGAGUGCUGUGAUUUAGUCAGCCAUCUGAGGUGAUACACCUAUGGAGCAUGCUAUUCCCCUAACACUUUUGAUUUAUUUAGGAUCUGUGAACUGAAUAGGUCUCAAGACCUUCCUUCAGGAUGUGAGAAAAAUAUUCUAUUCUACCACUUCUAUGAGGCACGUGCCCAACACACCAUCUUUAGCUCACAUAACUUACCAACAAUCCCAAACUAUUUCAGCAGAAGGUUGUGGUCAUAAACAGGCAAGCAAAGGUUUCCAAGUAAAGCCACCACUGUGGUGGACAUUACAGUUGGGUUCCAUAGACCCAACCUACAAAGGUCUACUUAAUAAUAAAAGGCUGUUCUUGUUUGGUUUAUUUUCAUUCAAGAAUCAUUAGUUUUUCUGACCACCAGCUUUGUAAAGUUGACUUCAAACUCUCUGAGGCCUGCAUUAUGGUCUUUGGCCUGGAUCUUUUGGAAUUUGAUGUGGUGAACAGACAAACACAAGAAGUUGCAGCCUACAGAACUGAAAAAGUGGAUCUGGAUUGUCAUGUGGGUGCCAUGGAGUUAUAGGGGUACUAUCAGUGAAGCAUGGAGAUGAUGGUGAUGGCUGUGGCUUCAGCUCCCUCUUGCAGUCCUCCUGACAAUGCCUUUUAAAAUGGAUUAACUUUUAAAAGGAUAUUUGUGCUCUCUCCUCCCACUGCCCAAGAUGCUGAAAGGAAAGAAGGCCAAGGGGAAGAAGGUGGCUUCAGCCCCUGCUGUCAUGAAGAAGCAGGAGGCCAAGAAAGUAGUGAAUCCUGUUUGAGGAAAGGCCUAAGAAUUUUGGCCUUGGACAGCACAUCCAGCCCAAAAAAGACCUCACCUGCUUUGUGAAAUGGCCCCGCUAUAUCAGGUUGUGGCGGCAGAGAGCCAUCCUCUAUAAACGCCUGAAAGUGCCUCCUGCAAUUAACCAGUUCACCCAGGCCCUGGACUACCAAACAGCUACUCAGCUACUUAAGCUGGCCCACAAGUAUAGAGACAAAGCAAGAGAAGAAGCAGAGGCUGUUGGCCUGGGCUGAGAAGAAAACUGCUGGCAAAGGGGACAUCCCCACUAAGAGACCACCUGUCUUUUGAGCAGGAGUUAACACGGUCACCACCUUGGUGGAAAACAAGAAAUCUCAGCUGGUGGUGAUUGCACACAACGUGGAUCCCAUUGAGCUGGUUGUCUUCUUGCCUGCCCUGUGUUGUAAAAUGGGAGUCCCUUACUGCACUAUCAAGGGGAAGGCAAGACUGGGAUGUCUAGUCCACAGGAAGACCUGCACCACUGUCGCCUUCACACAGGUUAACUUGAAAGACAAAGGUGCUUUGGCUAAGCUGGUGGAAUCCCGACCAAUUACAAUGACAGAUAUGAUGAGAUCCACCAUCACUGGGGAGACAAUGUCCUGCGUCCCAAGUUUGUGGCUUGCAUCGCCAAGUUCGAAAGGGCAAAGGCUAAAGAACUUGCCACUAACCUGGGUUAAAUGUACACUGUUGAGUUUUCUGUACAUAAAAAUAAUUAAAACAAUACAAAUUUUCCUU
This is a non-coding RNA of Callithrix jacchus (white-tufted-ear marmoset), 3141 nucleotides long. The record is from RefSeq and is a predicted model, not a curated record. NCBI's taxonomy places the organism in Eukaryota, Metazoa, Chordata, Mammalia, Primates, Cebidae.